AAGUCGUAACAAGGUCUCCGUUGGUGAACCAGCGGAGGGAUCAUUACAGAGUGUCAAAACUCCCAAACCCCAUGUGAACAUACCUAUGUUGCUUCGGCGGGAUCGUCCCGGGCGCCCUGCGUGCCCCGGAGUCAGGCGCCCGCCGGAGGAUGCAAACUCUUGUCUUAUUGAGGAUCUUCUGAGUAUCAUAAACAAAUAUAUCAAAACUUUCAACAACGGAUCUCUUGGUUCUG
This 233-nucleotide unclassified non-coding RNA is filed under the name air metagenome. RNAcentral's name for it is "partial contains small subunit ribosomal RNA, internal transcribed spacer 1, and 5.8S ribosomal RNA". The stretch from base 1 to 46 matches the Rfam family "Eukaryotic small subunit ribosomal RNA", at positions 1786 to 1831 of the family's 1831-position model. The record is from RNAcentral.